Molecule: ribosomal RNA, 497 nt
Filed under: uncultured bacterium
Lineage: Bacteria
Description: partial 16S ribosomal RNA
Rfam family: Bacterial small subunit ribosomal RNA
Source: RNAcentral
GAUGAACGCUGGCGGCGUGCCUAAUACAUGCAAGUCGAGCGAACGGACGAGAAGCUUGCUUCUCUGAUGUUAGCGGCGGACGGGUGAGUAACACGUGGAUAACCUACCUAUAAGACUGGUAUAACUUCGGGAAACCGGAGCUAAUACCGGAUAAUAUUUUGAACCGCAUGAUUCAAAAGUGAAAGACGGUCUUGCUGUCACUUAUAGAUGGAUCCGCGCUGCAUUAGCUAGUUGGUAAGGUAACGGCUUACCAAGGCAACGAUGCAUAGCCGACCUGAGAGGGUGAUCGGCCACACUGGAACUUAGACACGGUCCAGACUCCUAAGGGAGGGAGCAGUAGGGAAUCUUCCGCAAUGGGCGAAAGCCUGACGGAGCAACGCCGAGUGAGUGAUGAAGGUCUUCGGAUCGUAAAACUCUGUUAUUAGGGAAGAACAUAUGUGUAAGUAAAUGUGCACAUCUUGACGGUAACUAAUCAGAAAGCAACGGCUAACUACGUG